This 393-nucleotide ribosomal RNA is filed under the name uncultured bacterium. Its description in RNAcentral is "partial 16S ribosomal RNA". It matches the Rfam family "Bacterial small subunit ribosomal RNA", at positions 523 to 918 of the family's 1533-position model. The record is from RNAcentral.
AUACGGAGGAUCCGAGCGUUAUCCGGAUUUAUUGGGUUUAAAGGGAGCGUAGGUGGACAGUUAAGUCAGUUGUGAAAGUUUGCGGCUCAACCGUAAAAUCGCAGUUGAUACUGGCUGUCUUGAGUACAGUAGAGGUGGGCGGAAUUCGUGGUGUAGCGGUGAAAUGCUUAGAUAUCACGAAGAACUCCGAUCGCGAAGGCAGCUCACCGGGCCGGAACUGACACUGAUGCUCGAAAGUGCGGGUAUCAAACAGGAUUAGAUACCCUGGUAGUCCGCACAGUAAACGAUGAAUACUCGCUGUUUGCGAUACACUGUAAGCGGCCAAGCGAAAGCGUUAAGUAUUCCACCUGGGGAGUACGCCGGCAACGGUGAAACUCAAAUGAAUUGACGGGG